This 492-nucleotide ribosomal RNA is filed under the name uncultured bacterium. RNAcentral's name for it is "partial 16S ribosomal RNA". It matches the Rfam family "Bacterial small subunit ribosomal RNA", at positions 29 to 507 of the family's 1533-position model. The record is from RNAcentral.
AGUGAACGCUGGCGGUAGGCCUAACACAUGCAAGUCGAACGGCAGCACAGUAAGAGCUUGCUCUUACGGGUGGCGAGUGGCGGACGGGUGAGGAAUACAUCGGAAUCUACUUUUUCGUGGGGGAUAACGUAGGGAAACUUACGCUAAUACCGCAUACGACCUACGGGUGAAAGCAGGGGAUCUUCGGACCUUGCGCGAUUGAAUGAGCCGAUGUCGGAUUAGCUAGUUGGCGGGGUAAAGGCCCACCAAGGCGACGAUCCGUAGCUGGUCUGAGAGGAUGGUCAGCCACACUGGAACUGGGACACGGUCAAGACUCCUACGGGAGGCAGCAGUGGGGAAUAUUGGACAAUGGGCGCGAGCCUGAUCCAGCCAUACCGCGUGGGUGAAGAAGGCCUUCGGGUUGUAAAGCCCUUUUGUUGGGAAAGAAAAGCAGCGGGUUAAUACCCCGCUGUUCUGACGGUACCCAAAGAAUAAGCACCGGCUAACUUCGUG